Molecule: ribosomal RNA, 709 nt
Filed under: uncultured bacterium
Lineage: Bacteria
Description: bacterial SSU rRNA
Rfam family: Bacterial small subunit ribosomal RNA
Source: RNAcentral
AGCUUGCUAAAUGGACUCAUGGCGGACGGGUGAGUAACGCGUAAAGAACUUGCCCUUUAGACUGGGAUAACAGAGGGAAACUUCUGAUAAUACUGGAUAAGUUAGUAUAUCGCAUGAUAUGCAAAUGAAAGCUACGGCACUAAAGGAGAGCUUUGCGUCCUAUUAGCUAGUUGGUAAGGUAAGAGCUUACCAAGGCGAUGAUAGGUAGCCGGCCUGAGAGGGUGGACGGCCACAAGGGGACUGAGAUACGGCCCUUACUCCUACGGGAGGCAGCAGUGGGGAAUAUUGGACAAUGGAGGGAACUCUGAUCCAGCAAUUCUGUGUGUGUGAAGAAGGUUUUAGGACUGUAAAACACUUUUAGUAGGGAAGAAAAAAAUGACGGUACCUACAGAAGAAGCAACGGCUAAAUACGUGCCAGCAGCCGCGGUAAUACGUAUGUUGCGAGCGUUAUCCGGAAUUAUUGGGCUUAAAGGGCAUCUAGGCGGUAAGACAAGUUGAAGGUGAAAACCUGUGGCUCAACCAUAGGCUUGCCUACAAAACUGUUGAACUAGAGUACUGGAAAGGUGGGUGGAACUACACGAGUAGAGGUGAAAUUCGUAGAUAUGUGUAGGAAUGCCGAUGAUGAAGAUAACUCACUGGACAGAAACUGACGCUGAAGUGCGAAAGCUAGGGGAGCAAACAGGAUUAGAUACCCUGGUAGUCCUAGCUG